UUGACCUCAAAUCAGGUAGGACUACCCGCUGAACUUAAGCAUAUCAAUAAGCGGAGGAAAAGAAACUAACAAGGAUUCCCCUAGUAACUGCGAGUGAAGCGGGAUAAGCUCAAAUUUGAAAUCUGGCAGUCUUUUUUUUCUUCUUUGGCUGUCCGAGUUGUAAUCUAGAGAAGUGCUACCUGCA
Molecule: ribosomal RNA, 184 nt
Filed under: Amanita sp. 'texasorora'
Lineage: Eukaryota; Fungi; Basidiomycota; Agaricomycetes; Agaricales; Amanitaceae
Description: partial 28S ribosomal RNA
Rfam family: Eukaryotic large subunit ribosomal RNA
Source: RNAcentral